This 3130-nucleotide unclassified non-coding RNA is filed under the name Hevea brasiliensis (rubber tree). Lineage: Eukaryota; Viridiplantae; Streptophyta; Magnoliopsida; Malpighiales; Euphorbiaceae. The record is from RNAcentral.
GUUCAGCCAAGACAGAUUGUCAAUGGCAAAAUCAGUUUCUGCAAUGUCCAGGUAUAUAAAAUGAAUCAAUUGAGACCAUUUUAUCAUGAAGAAACUUUCCAUUAGUGUCAAUGACAAUGGAACAGAGCAGUAGAUUAUAUAAGUAGUCAACAUUGAUUAACAUGCAUGUGAAUUGGAAUUAGCCAACACCUCUUGCUGACAGUAGCAUAUAAUGCAUAUAACUUCUAAAAUUGUGUCUGCACUAGCAGCCACCUUGUUAAUCUAUUUCCGAGUUCAACCCUCCAACUGAGGUAGUGUAACAUCCUGGAGAGCCACAAGCAUUGCUUGACCACCAUACUCCUCAGGCAAAGAUUCUUCGCCAAUUUCCUUUAUAAAAUUUUUUCUUUCUUCUUCAUUGCUCACUAUAACAAUCUUUUCCAUUGUUGCUUUCUCAAGGAAGCGAGAGACCAUCCUCCAAACACUAACAAAGAAUCGUGGCAUGUGCAAAAUGUAGAGCUUUGCUAAUCGCUCAGGAUAGUAAGCCUGCAAAAAUUGAAAUCCAGCAGCAAACCCGCGCACAUCAAUGUUCCUAUACGUUAUUUGUUGCAGAUCAAGAACAACAACCAACUUCUCAUUUCCUAUUUCUCUUCCUUUGAAUGCGCUGAAAUGAAGUCAAUAAAACCCCUCAAAAAACUUUCUUUUUUUUUUUUUUGUUCAAGAUCAUGACUGUACAAAGAGUAAGCAAAUAACAGGAAGCAUACUAUACCAAAAUAUGAAGAUACCAAUACAUCUACUCUUGUGGUUUUACUAACACCAUAGAUAAGCAGUAUCUAAGCAGUAGCCACUGUCAUUUGGUUACAUAUUCUUUCAAUAUCUUUUUCAUGUUACCAGUAUAUAGCACAAUAUCCAAUUAACGUACAUUAAUAACUGUAAAUAAUCAUAACUUUGCCCAUAAAAUUAAAUCAAUAAGCACCAAACCAGGGUCCAAAUAUCGCAUUUUAAGUAUGCUACUUUUUUUACUUUGAGAAUGCUUCCACAUUAGAGAGCGGAACUCAGGAUCAAUUUUUCCAUAAGAACCUUUGACCAAAAAAAAAAAGCCUUCUAAACCAUCCUAAUUCCAAAUCACUUAAUUCUUCCAAAUAAACCCAAAACUGAAAAAUAACCUAUCACAUUCAGUAUUAUUCAAUGUUAACAAUUACCUUGCAAUUGCUUUGUCUAGCAAAUGAACCACGAACUCUGCACGAAGAGGCAAAACACAACAACAAAACAUUUACUUGUAAGGUAAUGUAAUGAAAAUGAAAAAUUGUUCUUUAUGCCCAAAGUUUAUUUUAUGAUAUCAAUUAGGACCAAGUUUUUUUUAUGAUAUCAAUUAGGCCCAUCUUAACCUCAAAUAAUUGGUUUUGUCAUUUAUAACCUUAAAUAAUUGUUUUUUUUAAGCCAUUGGAUAGGGGGCUUUCUCAUCACUAGCCUAAUCUUCAUUUUUGUAAAAUUGAAUUGAUAGGUUCCAUUUUCCCAAACUUCAAAUGGCAACAGCUACAGCUGGAAGAUCAUCUUUGAGAAAAGGCAUUAAUUGACAAAUAUGAUUUUAGCCACACAUAUUUUUUUUUCAUCCAAUAGCAAGGCCCAUGUUGAGUAAAUGACACUUGCGAGGACUUUAUCAAUUUGGUUAAGUGGAAAUAUAAAUAAGAAAAAAUAAAUAACAUAAGAGCACACAGGAAACUAAUGUGAUUCAGCCAUAAAGCCAUAAAGACGAUAAAAAAAAAUUAUUAAGAAAAUAGGAGAUUUAUAAAGACAGUUGAAUUGCUCUCAAUCCAAUUGACCCACUACUCCCAAAUCUCACUCAUACUAACUCACUCUUGGCUCACUUGCUCUUACUUCAUGCUCUUGCUCCACACUUUGCUAAAUGUAUUAAGAAUAUGGCUACUUAUAGCCAUGACAUGCUUAGAGAUCAGGAACAUGUGGUCCCAUAUCAUGAUAAAAAAUACAAGUCAUAUCUUGAGGAAAAUCUGGGCAAGAAAAUUGAGAAAAUUUUCUUAAUCUUCACCAAAGCAACAUGAUGGAUUCUUAGUACUCUAUAUCUUGAAGCAAAUAUUGGACGAUUGCAUUCAAAUAUUCAUGUGACUCUUUCAUGAUCAGAAUGUGGAACAUCAAUUCAAGAUACAUUCCAAUAAAUACUCACCUUGACUUACAUUGCUCAAUUGCUAACCAAAAAAUUUUUCAAUUAUUUCAGCCUUACGUUAAACCAAUAUCUGCAAUAUCAUUAAAAUGAUGUAAAAUCCAUAUCAUGACCUGCCAAUGAAAUUUUCCAGGAUUGUCCAUAAACCUGCUAACAACACUGAUAGCUAGAGUGCUAUACAUUUGACUAUGAAAGGACCAAGCACGUAGAUGUCAAAUUUCACUUCAUUUAGAAAAAUCGUUUCAGUGAUAAAAAUUUGUAUGGCAGAUGAUCAACCAUAUAUUUAAAACCUAUUCCUACAAUCAAUUCUAAGCAACACUUAGACUUGAUUGAUGUUUGCAGAAAAUUUUUCUGGUUGGUGAUUAAGCAAUUUAAGUCAAGGUGGAUAUUUGUUAAAUGUGUCUUGAUUGAUGGCCCAUAACCCAAUCAUGAAAGAAUCACAUGAAUUUUUGAAUGCAAGUGAGCCAAGAAUGGUGAGUGAAAUUCACAAGUAAGUGAAUCAGAUACUUGAGCUUGGAAGGACUAGUGUGAGUGAGAUUUAUAUAUGGUGGAUCAAUUGAGUUGAAAGCCAUCAAUUCAAGACACAUUUCAACAUUCCAAAUGAAGAAUAAAAAAAUAGUAGAUGGAAUUAUUCAAUAAUGGAAGGCAACAUAUAUAAAAUGGGGAAAGAGAAUCAUUUCCAGGACAAAAAACAAGUGAAUUGACACGAUCCAAGCAGUCCUAUUCAGCAUUCAUUACCCAAUUUUUAUGCCAAAACUUUACUUGUUCUGGUAUAUAAAUGGCCCAUAUAUACGACGAUCUCGAUCAAAACGCAUCAUUGCACCAAUCAAAGCAGUCUAAUUUACUAAAAUUUAAUAACAUGCAUAAGCCGUAAGCAAAUCUUGUUUAUUAGAACUAAAAUUUAAUAAGAUGCAUGACUCAAUAGGUUAAUAAACUGUAACAAAUUGGGUGGAGUUAGAGUUAAGCUAUACUGAC